AUACUUACCUGGCAAGGCAGAUACCAUGAUCAUGAAAGUGGUUUUCCCAGCAUGAGGCUCAUCCAUUGCACUUGAGGUGUGCCGAUCCCUGUAAUUUCCCCAAAUGUGGGGAAAUCAACUGCAUAAUUUGUGGUAGUGGGGAACUGUGUUUGUGCUUUACCCUG
Molecule: small nuclear RNA, 164 nt
Filed under: Pogona vitticeps (central bearded dragon)
Lineage: Eukaryota; Metazoa; Chordata; Lepidosauria; Squamata; Agamidae
Description: U1 spliceosomal RNA (ENSPVIG00000019104.1)
Rfam family: U1 spliceosomal RNA
About the family: U1 is a small nuclear RNA (snRNA) component of the spliceosome (involved in pre-mRNA splicing). Its 5' end forms complementary base pairs with the 5' splice junction, thus defining the 5' donor site of an intron. There are significant differences in sequence and secondary structure between metazoan and yeast U1 snRNAs, the latter being much longer (568 nucleotides as compared to 164 nucleotides in human).
Source: Rfam by way of RNAcentral